UACGUAGGGCGCAAGCGUUGUCCGGAAUUAUUGGGCGUAAAGAGCUCGUAGGCGGUCUGUCGCGUCUGCCGUGAAAACCCGAGGCUUAACCUCGUGGCUUGCGGUGGAUACGGGCAGACUAGAGGUAGGUAGGGGAGAAUGGAAUUCCCGGUGUAGCGGUGAAAUGCGCAGAUAUCGGGAGGAACACCGGUGGCGAAGGCGGUUCUCUGGGCCGUAACUGACGCUGAGGAGCGAAAGCGUGGGGAGCGAACAGG
Molecule: ribosomal RNA, 254 nt
Filed under: uncultured bacterium
Lineage: Bacteria
Description: partial 16S ribosomal RNA
Rfam family: Bacterial small subunit ribosomal RNA
Source: RNAcentral